Molecule: transfer RNA, 74 nt
Filed under: Grosmannia clavigera kw1407
Lineage: Eukaryota; Fungi; Ascomycota; Sordariomycetes; Ophiostomatales; Ophiostomataceae
Also listed under: 1 other name
Description: tRNA-Val (CAC) (tRNA-Val-CAC-1 1 to 3)
Rfam family: tRNA
About the family: Transfer RNA (tRNA) molecules are approximately 80 nucleotides in length. Their secondary structure includes four short double-helical elements and three loops (D, anti-codon, and T loops).
Source: RNAcentral
GGUUCCGUGGUCUAGUUGGUUACGACGUCUGCUUCACACGCAGAAGGUCCUGGGUUCGAGCCCCAGCGGAGCCA